Molecule: unclassified non-coding RNA, 575 nt
Filed under: Saccharomycopsis lassenensis
Lineage: Eukaryota; Fungi; Ascomycota; Saccharomycetes; Ascoideales; Saccharomycopsidaceae
Description: sequence contains ITS1, 5.8S rRNA gene and ITS2
Rfam family: 5.8S ribosomal RNA (bases 188-341)
Source: RNAcentral
AAAACUGUUUAGACCUGCGCUUAAUUGCGCGGUCUACAACAAUUUAUACACAAUGUUUUAUUUUUCUUUUAGAGGUUUCGAGUGACUUUGUCACUUGGAGCAACUAAAAGUCGUAACCAAAACUCUUCUGUUCAUUCAGGAAUGUAUUUUUUACUUUAAAGUCAAUUUUAAUUAAUAAAAAAAUUAAAACUUUCAGCAACGGAUCUCUUGGUUCUCGCAUCGAUGAAGAACGCAGCGAAUUGCGAUAAGUAAUGUGAAUUGCAGAUUUUCGUGAAUCAUCGAAUCUUUGAACGCAUAUUGCACUCUAUAGUAUUCUGUAGAGUAUGCUUGUUUGAGCGUCAUUUCUCUCUUAAAUCUUAGGAUUUAGUUAUGAAGGUUGUGUUAAAGCAAUUUAACUCCUUUGAAAUGACUUCGCGAUAGCUCAUCAAUUAAAGAUGUUUAGAAUUUGAUAUUAGGUUUUACCAACUAUUGAAUCUCUAGACUUUUCUUGUUUGAUUACAGCUCGCGUAACAAAAUUUACAUAAAUUUUGACCUCAAAUCAAGUAAGAAUACCCGCUGAACUUAAGCAUAUCAAU